RNAcentral lists this unclassified non-coding RNA (535 nucleotides) under Aira praecox. RNAcentral's name for it is "contains 3' external transcribed spacer, ETS". The record is from RNAcentral. Lineage: Eukaryota; Viridiplantae; Streptophyta; Magnoliopsida; Poales; Poaceae.
GCCGACUACCGRCGCCGUGUCCCGUCAUUCAUGUGGCUUUGGUUACUGUUGCCUUUCGAGUGCUURCGUGAAGAUACCCGACCUUCGGGAAGURGUGCUUCGUACACGGUUGCCUUGUGGUGGAUACCUUUGGGUGUCUCGCUGCGGCCUAACGGCGAUUGCGGCGUUGCCUCGUGRUGCCUACACAUUUUGUGCAUGGCUCUAUCAAGGCAGCCUCGCUUUUGCUGUUGGUUUCGGAUGUUGCUCACGAUAUAGGCUCGUGGCCCUUUUGGUUGCCUCGACCUGACCCUAAGCAUGCUCUCUGAAAACUUGAGGGUCGUGGAACGGGGUGUUGCCUCUACCUCUCCGCAGUUAGCGGUAGGAUACACAACAUCCUGGGCCGAUCCUCAUAACAGUAGGACGAGCUUGGCCCGCUCAAUCGCGACAACCGGMCAGGCAGUUGUCUAUGCCUUGCCACGCAAGUGGACGGACGGACGAUUGCCGAAACUGGGCGUCAAAAAGGACGUGCUACCUGGUUGAUCCUGCCAGUAGUCAU